GUUUGUUCAUUGAUUUAAUGAAUAACCAUAAGAAUGCAUGAGUGAAAAACAUUGCUGGCAGUCCGAUCGGCCGAACCAGAAAUUGGACCGCUAGGUCCUCUCUCUGGCAGCUUACUCCGUUGCGCGAGGUUCCGGCUCGAAAGACGUUCCCAAGCGAGGCUGCCAAAAUACGGUAAACGUUCACAAGGUGUGUGGUUGUGCUGGAAGCGCCAAGUUUCCCUGGCGUUCCAAACAACAGAUUGGUAAUGAUCCAACCGCAGGUUCACCUACGGUUA
RNAcentral lists this unclassified non-coding RNA (275 nucleotides) under uncultured fungus. RNAcentral's name for it is "sequence contains ITS1". Lineage: Eukaryota; Fungi. The record is from RNAcentral.